This is a non-coding RNA of Leptonychotes weddellii (Weddell seal), 1119 nucleotides long. The record is from RefSeq and is a predicted model, not a curated record. NCBI's taxonomy places the organism in Eukaryota, Metazoa, Chordata, Mammalia, Carnivora, Phocidae.
CGCCGCCGCCGCCGCCGCGGAGCAGACCAUCGAGAACAUCAAGGUGGGCCUGCAUGAGAAGGAGCUCUGGAAGAAGUUCCACGAGGCAGGCACCGAGAUGAUCAUCACCAAGGCGGGCAGGAGGAUGUUCCCCAGCUACAAGGUAAAAGUCACAGGCAUGAACCCCAAGACCAAAUAUAUCCUGCUGAUUGACAUCGUCCCUGCAGAUGACCACCGCUACAAAUUCUGUGACAACAAAUGGUAAGAACCUGGGGCCCUCACAUCCCCUGUCUUCUCUCACCACACCCACCCCACCACCUGAUGUUUGGUCCAGGGACUCACCAGCUAGUUCCAGUGAUUGCCCAGACGUGCGGCAUUGGGAACUGAGCCUGCAGGGGCUGCAGGGUUGGCAAAUGUCUGCCCACCUGCUGCAGAUGGGGCUGGGGCUGGAAAUGAGUUGCAGUGUUUGUGUUUGGUGGCUUUCAAGAGUCUGUUCUCUCCCUACAGCUGUGGACAGACAGGAUUGGUGACUAUGCUGUGGGGUGAGAGAUGGACAACACUGGAUGAAUAUAGGCUCUGGUCGGGCCGCGCUGGGGAGGAGGAUGGGAGCUGUUUUCUUGGGGGACUUUGAUAUUGGAUGGUUAGCACCCAGAUGCCUGGUCUGUGGCAUCUUCUGCUGCUUUUCCACUUGCUCCUUGUCUGGCUGUGAGCCCUUCCUUUAAGCUGUUGAUCCACAGUGAAGGGCAGCCGCCUGGUGGUUGGAUGACAGGAUGCCUUGGCAAGGGGUUGGGGGAAACAAGUGGGUUGUAGGGCAAAACGGGGGCCGGACAAAUAAACACUGGGCUGCUUUUUCUAAGGCCACCUCCUCUGUACCCUGUCUGUCCCCAGAGCCCAGGACAGCAUUCAAGGAGAGAGAGGGAUUGAAUGAAUUAGCAGCCAGCUGGGAUGUGGGCUCCACAAUGGGUUGGUAGUAGGGUCAGCAGAGACUGGGCUGAGGAGGCCAGGUCCUGUCGAGGGCCAUGUUUCUAUUUCUUCUCUCUUCGGAUUGGAUUAUCAUUCAGAGCAGGCUCUGGCUGAGGGGACAGUUACCAAGUAAUUUCUUUGGGGGCAAGCACUAUAUUGGGGACAAGUAAUUUUUUU